GGACGCUUUUGGGGUUUCGGCCUCAAGGGAGUGGCGGACGGGUGAGUAGCGCGUGGGAACCUGCCUUGGAGUGGGGGAUAACCGAGGGAAACUUCGGCUAAUACCGCAUGCGCCCCGGCGCGAGCCGGGGGAAAGAUUGAUCGCUCCAAGAGGGGCCCGCGUCGGAUUAGGUAGUUGGUGGGGUAACGGCCUACCAAGCCUUUGAUCCGUAGCUGGUCUGAGAGGAUGAUCAGCCACACUGGGACUGAGACACGGUCCAGACUCCUACGGGAGGCAGCAGUGGGGAAUCUUGCACAAUGGGCGAAAGCCUGAUGCAGCGACGCCGCGUGGGGGAUGAAGCUUCUCGGAGUGUAAACCCCUUUCGACUGGGACGAAUGCCCGCAAGGGAGUGACGGUACCAGUAGAAGAAGCCCCGGCUAACUACGUG
This 427-nucleotide ribosomal RNA is filed under the name uncultured bacterium. RNAcentral describes it as "bacterial SSU rRNA". It matches the Rfam family "Bacterial small subunit ribosomal RNA", at positions 64 to 507 of the family's 1533-position model. The record is from RNAcentral.